ACAGCGAGCGAGACGGAGGUAGAGAAAGGGAGAGAGCAAGCAUGUGUCCGGAGGUAGUGAGAGUGACACCACACGCCAGCAUGUUGAGAUGGAUCAAAUACUUUAUUAGCAAAUGACUGUCAACAUUUAUUUCAACCGCCUUAUGGUACGAGAUGGACGGGAUUCAGACCAUCGUGACAUGUCCAACAGUAUCAUAUGAAACAGCAACGUCUAGGAUAUGGACCACUGCUCCCUUGUGAUGACGCCAUGAUUCUGCUUCUGCUCGCCUCAGAGGUACCUUCAUUGAUAUGACAUGCUUAUGACGGCCUCCAACACCGUCAAGGAAGCUGAGGAAAUGCAGAGCCAAUGAGUCCCGAGUCUCCUUUGGGGAGCUCGCUUGAGGUCUGGGGCCUGUUUGAACUCCAUGGCCCCUGGCUUUUGGAGCUUUCCAAAAUGUUGCCUACAGGGGCAAAGGACUUAUCACCAUGGGUAUUCACCGGCUGGGAGUUUAGGAACAGGGCACUUUGAAUGAUUCACUCCAUAAUAAAUCUCUUUGAAUCUCGCAAAAUUACUAUUCAGCUGUUUCUGAAAGAUGAUUUACCUUAUUCAAAUGAUGGAUUCUUACAGGAAAGUAAACAAAUCAAAGGGAUAUAAAAUCAACUGUGUUUUCUUAAAUGAAUAUUGGAUGCACAUAUAUGUUUUCAUGUAACAAUCAACACCGUGAUCAUAUCUUGAACUCAUCUCCGUUUCCAGCCUUUUUUAGUAACGCUAGAAAGAAAUAAGCUUUGGCACAAGCAACACAUUUCAGGAUGGACUUUAGACUUGGACUGAAUAAUCAAUCUUUACCAUCUGCAUGGCGCCUUCCCAUAUUUUCCGACAGCUUAUGGAAAUGUUAAUUGUGCAGCGGAUUAAAGUAAAAGCACAUUCCCAACUAAUAAGUGGGCCUCUUUGACUGCAGGUUUGUAUUGCUGGUAUAAGUUGCUAAGAGAUAGCUGUGCUCUCAUUUUAGGGGUCACUAAUGUAAUGCUCCUAAUUUGGGUGGGAGAGCGCAUCCGUGUAAUCACAAUAAUCUUGUGCUCUUUAGAGUUGGAUGAUGUUGCGUCAUGGAACUAAAACACAAGAUGGCAAAGACAGUAGUGGAGUAUGUAUGAAUUCAAACAUAUAGAAUAAAGACCUAGUUGUUUGACUUUCUACCAAAGUAACUGCGUUACACAAGUGUGUCGCUCCUGUGUAUUUGCUAUUAAUUUCAGCUACGGGCUGUAAUUGUUAUCAGCUGUACAUUUUUUCAUAUUUGCAUUCACAUGUGCAUCAUUUAACUUUCACCACCAAGUAUUUACGGGUUGGCAAAAAACAUUGAAAAACAAAACUGG
Molecule: long non-coding RNA, 1349 nt
Organism: Gasterosteus aculeatus aculeatus (three-spined stickleback)
Lineage: Eukaryota; Metazoa; Chordata; Actinopteri; Perciformes; Gasterosteidae
Source: Ensembl